This 491-nucleotide ribosomal RNA is filed under the name uncultured bacterium. Its description in RNAcentral is "partial 16S ribosomal RNA". It matches the Rfam family "Bacterial small subunit ribosomal RNA", at positions 29 to 507 of the family's 1533-position model. The record is from RNAcentral.
GUGCACGCUGGCGGUAGGCCUAACACAUGCAAGUCGAACGGCAGCACAGUAAGAUCUUGCUCUUACGGGUGGCGAGUGGCGGACGGGUGAGGAAUACAUCGGAAUCUACUUUUUCGUGGGGGAUAACGUAGGGAAACUUACGCUAAUACCGCAUACGACCUACGGGUGAAAGCAGGGGAUCUUCGGACCUUGCGCGAUUGAAUGAGCCGAUGUCGGAUUAGCUAGUUGGCGGGGUAAAGGCCCACCAAGGCGACGAUCCGUAGCUGGUCUGAGAGGAUGAUCAGCCACACUGGAACUGAGACACGGUCCAGACUCCUACGGGAGGCAGCAGUGGGGAAUAUUGGACAAUGGGCGCAAGCCUGAUCCAGCCAUACCGCGUGGGUGAAGAAGGCCUUCGGGUUGUAAAGCCCUUUUGUUGGGAAAGAAAAGCAGCAGGUUAAUACCCCGCUGUUCUGACGGUACCCAAAGAAUAAGCACCGGCUAACUUCGUG